Molecule: long non-coding RNA, 310 nt
Organism: Rhincodon typus (whale shark)
Lineage: Eukaryota; Metazoa; Chordata; Chondrichthyes; Orectolobiformes; Rhincodontidae
Exons: 3
Source: RefSeq, a predicted model, not a curated record
UGAUGCUGCUUGGCCUGCUGUGUUCAUCCAGCUCUACACCUUGUUAACUCAGAUUCUCCAGCAUCUGCAGUCUCUACUAUCUCUGAAACAGUGAUAAAAGGAGAUCCUUGCGGAAAGUGCUACAUUCCAUGGCAGCAUUGGCCUCUGAAUCAGAAUCAGUUUUUGUGCAGCAAAAAUACCCCAGCAACUUUAAGAAAAAUAACUGCUACCCGCUGUUUCAGGAAAAAAACUAUAUUUUAAGUGAAAAAUAUUAGUGCCAGGCAUCACUGGCUACACCAGCAUUUAUUGCCCAUCACAGAGGACAUUUCAG